GACGAACGCUGGCGGCGUGCUUAACACAUGCAAGUCGAACGGAAAGGCCCUGCUUUUGUGGGGUGCUCGAGUGGCGAACGGGUGAGUAACACGUGAGUAACCUGCCCUUGACUUUGGGAUAACUUCAGGAAACUGGGGCUAAUACCGGAUAGGAGCUCCUGCUGCAUGGUGGGGGUUGGAAAGUUUCGGCGGUUGGGGAUGGACUCGCGGCUUAUCAGCUUGUUGGUGGGGUAGUGGCUUACCAAGGCUUUGACGGGUAGCCGGCAUGAGAGGGUGACCGGCCACAUUGGGACUGAGAUACGGCCCAGACUCCAACGGGAGGCAGCAGUGGGGAAUAUUGCACAAUGGGCGGAAGCCUGAUGCAGCAACGCCGCGUGCGGGAUGACGGCCUUCGGGUUGUAAACCGCUUUCGCCUGUGACGAAGCGUGAGUGACGGUAAUGGGUAAAGAAGCACCGGCUAACUACGUG
This 468-nucleotide ribosomal RNA is filed under the name uncultured bacterium. RNAcentral describes it as "partial 16S ribosomal RNA". It matches the Rfam family "Bacterial small subunit ribosomal RNA", at positions 28 to 507 of the family's 1533-position model. The record is from RNAcentral.